Long non-coding RNA from Macadamia integrifolia, 3260 nucleotides. RefSeq lists it as uncharacterized. The transcript is spliced from 7 exons. The record is from RefSeq and is a predicted model, not a curated record. NCBI's taxonomy places the organism in Eukaryota, Viridiplantae, Streptophyta, Magnoliopsida, Proteales, Proteaceae.
GUAUGCUGUUCACAAGAAAUGUGUUGGCUGUGGGGAAUCUUCAAUUACGCUGUUCACAUGACAUGUGUAACUGGAAGGCGAAUUCCGACCGUUGGCAGCGUAGAAGUGGAAGGAAAUGGAGACCGAACAUAUAUAUCCCAAGCUCUGUUGCUUCUGCUAUGGCAGCUUCGACCUCCUUGAGGGCUUCUCAUUCUCAGAUCUGGCUCUUCUCUUUUCCAAGGCCGCCGGGAAUAGGAGACCGAUCGUUGAAAGAGGGGUUUCUAUUAGGUAUGAUGCUGGCGGUCCCAAUGUUUUGGCCAAGACGAUAAGAAAUGAUUCCAGGGCUUCCACUCCCGGACUCUCUCAACGACUCUUCCAUUUCGGUUUUAGGGCUCAGGGAAAGCAUCAUCCGCUGGGUUCAAGCUUAAGCAACUCUUCCAAUUCGGUUUCACGGUUCAGAAUUUCAAGUAAUAAUUCAAACGAAACAGACUUCAGAUGAUCUUGAAUUGAUCAAAGUAGCAAGAGAGGGAGAUGAUAAAUGUACAUGCAUGGUAGAUGCAUGUGAAGGUACAUGCAUGUAAAACUAUCACAUGCAUUACUGUAGUCGACGAUGAUGCAAUCUGCCACUUUUAGCAUCGAAAGGACAACUUCACAUACAUCUAUUGUGGUCGGCGACGAUGCAUCUACCAUUGACGGCGAUGAAAGGACUGGUCAUUGAACUUAUAAACAGUUCAACGCUCAGAGACUUUACCAGAAAAAUGAGAAGUUUGUUGAUCUCUGUUUCAUCUGUAUUGAGAAUCCAGGUUUGAUCUGCAUCAAUUUGUGACACAUACUUAAUGUCUAUGGUUCCAAGGAAGUUCCAUGCACUCCAUGCCAUUGGAUUUGGUGCAUUAAGGUAUUGACAAGAUCAAGGAAAAUAUCACAAGCAUACAACAUUUUUCGAUGAUUUAAAAUUCAUAUUCCCAGAUAAUUAAGAACUAUGAAAUGAAGCAAAAUAGCUGAUCAGUACUAUAUUUCUUUAUGUAACUAAGUUUUGUCCGCUUAAACUAUAAAAUUAAGAAUAGGGCCAGCUUGGUAAUAAAAAAAGAGGAGUGUACAAAAUAUAUUGAUAUGGACUCCGGUUUUCAGCCAAGCAUUUUUAUUCCUCCUCCUCCCAAUGCAAGUUCUGACCACAUCAGUUUAUCUAUAUUGUCUUACUCUUUUUAAAAUUUUUCUUCAUGAGUAACUUACUGUGAAAUUUGAGAUCACCUAAUAAAGGAUCAAUAUUUCCUAUCAAGAAAAGAUUGGCUUCUCUAUCUUUCAGAUUUUGUUUUCUGAUCUAUCCUUGAAAUAUUUCCUGUUUAUUAGGUUCACCCUCAAAGUUUGCUGACGUUUUUUCUCCUAUUUACUUUGUCUAGAAAAUUUGUGACAUAAUCAGUUGUUGUAAGAAUUUUUGUGUCUUAACUACUGAUUACUAGAGUGACUGCUGUUACUGUAUUGUAGCUUGUACAUUGUUUGAAAAACUGUUAGCCAUGUACUGAAGUCGUAUUGUUGGAUGAGUUAUGGUUACCGUGGAGAUUGCUGGAGAGUGGCUUGAAUUCCAAAGCCAAUAUAUUUGGGGAAUUUUACCACGCUUUCCCCCUCCCUUCCUUUUUUUCCUUGUUCUGUUGAAUCACUAUAAAUUGUGUGGCUAUUUUCGCCUAUGGUUUUUUUUUUUUCCCCACCUCCUAGAUUAAUUAAUUGUACAUGAACUUUAGGAACAUCAUUGUACUGUCAUUUGUUCUCUCUUAGAUUCACUGUAAGAUGAGGUACGGGUUAUAGUGAAGAUUACUAGAGUGGCUUGAAAUCCAAGCCAAUAUAAUUUUGAAAUUUUACCACUUGCAUUCUUCCUCAAAAAUGAGGACUGUACCCAAGAAUGAUGAGAAAGGGUCUCCUGUAUCUCUAUGCUCGCAGCAUGAACUUCACCUGCUUGGACUGCUUGUUUGGUCAAUGAAGAUUGCCUACAACUCACAAAUCCAGGAUUUAAUAUACACAUUCAAAGCAUAGUUAUUGCAAAACAUGCAUGUGCUUAAGUUGUGGCUGUGAUGAUGAGGGUAAUGAAAUUGCUAGAGUAUGAAUUAAAGCAUUGUUGUUGUUGGUUUUGAUUAUGACUUUCUAUCUCUCUUUUUUGUCAAAUUAGGGAUUUAAACCUUGAGGCUUGUACUAAAUGAUAGAAAGAGUCAAUAAUUCAUCUACCAGAGAGUAGACAAGUUGCAGAGUAGUAUUUGUCUGAUUGGGGUAAAGUGGGACAAUUUGUCUGAUUGGGAUACAAUGGAUUAGUAUAAAUGAUUUCGGAAACAAUAUUGUUAUCUAUUAUAUGAUAUUGUAGAUUUUUACCUGCAUCAGGUCAGCUGUCUAUGCCUAUAGAUCAAUAUCGUAUGUAAUAGAAGCAUUGUUUCAUUUCCAAUGAUAGCCAUUGCCUGUUUUGAUUGCAAUAUUCAAGUUGAGCAUACAAGAAUUUGGUUUCCCUGCUUGCCUGUACUUGUUUAACACUUUUCCCAGGAUCUUAGGCUCUCCAAUAUAAGCCUUCUCAAUAUCCUCCUUUGUGUCCAACAACAUGAAGCUUCUUAACAUCAUAUGUAAUGUGGUUGAGAAAUCCUUUCAAGAGGUUGAGCUUAGAUGAAGGUUUGGAUUUCCAACUCAGUAAAGUGAUAGCAGAGAUUUUACUAUGGUGAUGACUGUCCUAUUUGUAUGACACUGUCUCCUGUGGGUAAUCUAUGAAGGUUCCUUUUCAGAUGAACAGAAUACAUAUAUCAUUUCAGCCUUCCACAUAUAAUAUAGGUUGUUCCAGUUAUGUAUGAUAAGAGGAGGGGUGGUGGAACUCCAUAAAAUAUCUCAUAAGGUGUGAAAUUGGUUGGUGAAUGAAUGUUUGUGUUGUACCACCAUGCAGCCAAUGCUAAGCAUUUUGACCACUCCUUGGGCUUGGCUCCUGUGAAAAUGGAGGUACCUUUCAGGCACUUAUUCACAAUUUCAGAUUGUGCAUCUGUUUAGGCACAAUUUCAGAUUGUUCAUCCGUUUGGGGAUGAUAAGCCAAACAACAAAUUAGUUGGGUUCCCUAUAAUUUGAAGAAUGCUUGCCAAAAUGCACUAUUAAAAGUGAGGUCACAAUCACUUAAUAUUGAAAUUGGCAUGCUAUGUAAUUUUAUUUUUUUUAUUUUUUUUAUUUUGUGAAUGAAAGACUAUUUAUUAAGAUGCAAAAAAAUGCGUGAAAUUACAGUUACAUGAAUCCUGAAUCCACAUAGUGGAUAAUGGCCAAUUUACUCU